Molecule: ribosomal RNA, 513 nt
Filed under: uncultured bacterium
Lineage: Bacteria
Description: partial 16S ribosomal RNA
Rfam family: Bacterial small subunit ribosomal RNA
Source: RNAcentral
GACGAACGCUGGCGGCAUGCCUAAUACAUGCAAGUCGAGCGAACAGAUGAAGUGCUUGCACUUCUGACGUUAGCGGCGAACGGGUGAGUAACACGUAAGGAAUCUACCUAUAAGCGGGGGAUAACAUUCGGAAACGGGUGCUAAUACCGCAUAAUAUCUUCUUCCGCAUGGAAGAAGAUUGAAAGACGGCUCUGCUGUCACUUAUCGAUGACCUUGCGGUGCAUUAGUUAGUUGGUGGGGUAAUGGCCUACCAAGACGAUGAUGCAUAGCCGACCUGAGAGGGUGAUCGGCCACAUUGGGACUGAGACACGGCCCAAACUCCUACGGGAGGCAGCAGUAGGGAAUCUUCCGCAAUGGGCGAAAGCCUGACGGAGCAAUGCCGCGUGAGUGAAGAAGGCCUUCGGGUCGUAAAACUCUGUUAUAAGAGAAGAACAAAUUGUGGAGUAACUGCUACAGUCUUGACGGUAUCUUAUCAGAAAGCCACGGCUAACUACGUGCCAGCAGCCGCCGUAA